GGCUCCGUGGUCAAGCGGUCAAGACACCGCCCUUUCACGGCGGUAGCACGGGUUCGAUUCCCGUCGGAGUCA
Molecule: transfer RNA, 72 nt
Filed under: Clostridium sp.
Lineage: Bacteria; Bacillati; Bacillota; Clostridia; Eubacteriales; Clostridiaceae
Description: tRNA-Glu
Rfam family: tRNA
About the family: Transfer RNA (tRNA) molecules are approximately 80 nucleotides in length. Their secondary structure includes four short double-helical elements and three loops (D, anti-codon, and T loops).
Source: RNAcentral